CAUUUAAUUGAUCUUGAACCUUUAGAAAUCGAGGUGUGCCAUUAGCUUAAUUUUCAUGGCCCUCGCAACCAAGCGGGGGAUAAUAUCAUUCAAGCAUAGCUUCAGGCAAGGGAAUGGAGUGGCACACAUUUUGGCAAAUGCAGCACUAAGAAAUAACUCUUUUGAUAAGCUAUACAGUUCUGGUACACCUCCUGAUUUUGUUAGGGCCGUCUAUGAGAAUGAUAUGGAGGACUAUGUUUAUGUUAGAACUAGUUGUAUUAAAUAAUGUGAAGAUCUAGCUGCACUAGGAAAUAUGAGUGCCAUAUGUAGCCUAAUGAUAGAUUCUAAUGAUGCAUGUAUGUCAAACAUCCGUAGGAGGAAACCAUCCCUCUAAUUCUAAUGAUGCAUGUAUGACAAACAUCCAUCGGGGAAACCAUCUCUCUCUACUUAACUUAAUAUGUAUACAUAUAUAAAAUAUUCUUUCUGUUUCAAAAAUAAAAAUGUGCUACUUCACGAUGCUUUAAAAAUAUUUCUUGAAAUAUAUUUAAUCGGAGAGCCAUAUUUACACAAAACCAUCCGAACCCUAAAAAAAGGAGUGCAUUUAUUGUUGGUUGACGAAGUUGCUGGACACAAGUAAAUUAUUUUAAUUUUUGAGACGCAAAACUGGAACUAAUAGUACAGACGUGAAAUACCAUCAUCUGGACAGAAGUAAAUUAUUUUAAUUUUUGAGAAGCAAAACUAGAACUAAUAGUACAGACUUGAAAUACCAUCAAAUAUGCAUAUAGAGUAAUAGAGACGUAGCAGAAGAAAAAAAUUCAAUAUCACAUUUUAAGGUACAUACAAAAUAGGUAGCCUGCAGUAUCAGAAAGAAUACUUUUUAGGUUAGAUAAAUGCUGAAUUAGGUAGGGACUACGUCCUUAAUUAUAUGCUAGUCUUAGGUUUCCUAAAAGGGGAAAAAGUGUUUGUUGCAUGAAAUGUAAAUGCAUGGUUGUUUAGGUGUCAUUUGUUAUAAUCCUUGAGCCACUUUUGGUUAUUUGCCUCUUUUAGGCUCUUGCUAUACUACCUUAGCAGACAGUAAAGUACAAGAGGGUAACAGCUUGAAUGUGGAUGAAAUGACAAAAAAAAUUCUUUAUUUAUUUUUAAACAAAAUCAGAAAAGAUAAGUGUGUAGUUCACUUGUUAUUACAUCUUUGUUGUUAUUUAGUAUUUUUAUAUAACACAUUAUUAAAACUUUUAAUAUAAUACUUGAGAGUAAUGGCAAAAGCAGACAUUUACUUUCCUUUUCUUCUUUUAUUUUUAAAAAUACAGAGUAAGAAACAAAAUUGGGCUCCAUGCUAGUUUCAUUCAAGCAUAGCAUCUGGACAGAAGUAAAUUAUUUUAAUUUUUGAGACGCAAAACUGGAACUAAUAGUACAGACUUGAAAUACCAUCCAAUAUGCAUAUGAAGUUUAAAUAGCAAGAGUAAUAGAGACGUAGCAGAAGAAAAACAUCUAAUAUCACAUUUUAAGGUAGCCUGCAUUAUCAGAAAACAUUUAAUACUAGCAUGUAGUUUCUUUAGUUGUUUCUGUAGAAAAGAAUUUGUUCUUUAAUUGCAAAUAACCAUCGGGAAGAUUUCACUUUUGUUUUGGGAUGUCAAACCAAGACUUGUCUAUUUUUCUCCCCCUCCACUAAUUAAUUUUCUUUGCUUCAUUUAACGUGUUCUUUGCAUCAUCAUUUCAGGUUCAAUAUCACGUUUUAAGGUACAUACAAAACUGGUAGCCUGCACAAUCAGAAAAUUCAUCCAGUGCAUUAAAGGCUUAGCUCUUCUUGGCAGCUAGCUUUUCUGGAUCUUUGAAAAGAAUGGAUUUCUGUAGAAAAGAAUUUGUUCUUUAAUUGCAAAUAACCAUCGAGAAUAUUUCACUUUUGUUUUGGGAUGUCAAACAAAGACUUGUCUAUUUUUCUCCCUCUUCACUAAUUAAUUUUCUUAGCUUUAUUUAACGUGUUUUUGCAUCAUCAUUUCAGGUUCAAUAUCACAUUUUAAGGUACAUACAAAAUUGGUAGCCUGCACUAUCAGAAAAUUCAUCCAGUGCAUUAAAGGCUUAGCUCUUCUUGGCAGCUAGCUUUUCUGGAUAUUCAAAACCCCUUCCACCAACACACCACCAUAACCAUCAGCGCCGUUUCCUGACCUCUUGUAUUCAGUAGGCCUCAAGUGAGGAAUUCUUUUUCCACUACGUACCCCUCUUCUUGGAUUUGGUAGCAUAUAUAUAGCUGUAAGUAAUUAGUCGUUGCACCAUUUGUUAUUCUUUCUUUGUUUUGUGGUUUGUAAGUGUUCACAUUUGCUUAUAAUCUUUGAUAUCGCAAUUCUUAGACUGUAAUAGGAGGUUUAGCUUUUUGGUUUUGACUGUUUAAGAGUUUAAUACUAACAUGUAGUUUCUUUAGUUGUUUUUGUAGAAAAGAAUUAGUUUGAUAAUUGCAAAUAACCACCGGGAAGAUUUCACUUUUGUUUUGGGAUGUCAAACAAACACUUGCCUAUUUUUCUCCCCUCCACUAACUAAUUUUCUUAGCUUCAACUGUACGUACUUGUUGAAGCCAUUUAAUUCUUUGCAUCAUCAUUUCAGGUUCUUUUUAUUAGUGUCCUACAUUAACAUUGUUCUCGCCAGUCUUUUCAGAUUGGGUUGAUCUGCUGAUUUGAUCAGGUAGCUAUUUAUAAAUUUGAGUUUGCAUUGCUAUCUAGUAAGAUUUGAAAAAUUCUAGUAGUAAUGAAUACUAAAGAAUUCCAUUAUGUCAUUCAGGUUAAGAUGUUGCGCCGCACAAUCAGUUGUCCAAUAGCCUAUUCCCAGAGGUAUAUUACUGCUCUCAAAACUUGAUGCUUAGUGAAAUAAUUAGAAGUAGAGUUGUAACAACAAAGGAGCUUUAGUGUUUCCAUAGACUUAAUUCCUUGGAUAAUUAUAGUUAUCAAAAUUAUAUAUUUAAUAAAGUUACUUUGGUGAUAGUAAUUCAGGUUCACAUCGGCACCCAUUGAUUUUUCAGAUGCAGCUUGGGUUUUAAGGAUUCGAAGUCGAGUCCUCACUUGCUAAUCUCAGGCUCCUGAAAGUUUUGGGCUCAUCUUGGACUUAAGUAUUAAAAGACUUGCAAAAUCGAAACUAUGUACUUUGUAUCAUUUAGGUUUGUUUUGCUCGAUUGGCUCGGCUCUCUCGUUUGUUUGGGUUGUUGAGGAAGUAAUGUCUCUUUAGGUAAUUGUUUGUUUAAUAAGACGCCCAUGGGUAGCUUAUUUAGUUCAAACAUUUAGCAUAGAAGGUAUUUUGAAUGCCUUUAGGUUUCUCCUAAAUUAACUAGAUUUUUAAAAUGAGUUGAGGUGUGCCAUAUUAGCCAAAUGUAUAAUAUAUGGGCCUUAUGAGCUAAUUUAGAAACCUUGUUUGUUAGAAAAAAUCAAGGCGCGCCAUGCCAAGUAAAAACUUCAAAAUGCACGGCCCUCAUUUAAUUGAUCUUGAACCUUUAGAAAUCGAGGUGUGCCAUUAGCUUAAUUUUCAUGGCCCUCGCAACCAAGCAGGGGAUAAUAUCAUUCAAGCAUAGCUUCAGGCAAGGGAAUGGAGUGGCACACAUUUUGGCAAAUGCAGCACUAAGAAAUAACUCUUUUGAUAAGCUAUACAGUUUUGGUACACCUCCUGAUUUUGUUAGGGC
Molecule: long non-coding RNA, 3637 nt
Filed under: Nicotiana benthamiana
Lineage: Eukaryota; Viridiplantae; Streptophyta; Magnoliopsida; Solanales; Solanaceae
Description: long non-coding RNA (NBEN_LNC020060)
Source: RNAcentral